UUACUAAUAGGUUAUAUAAACUGAUAGAUUGUGGUUCUAUUGAAUACUUGUUAAUUUAAUGUAAGUAUUAGUAAA
Molecule: transfer RNA, 75 nt
Filed under: Taenia solium (pork tapeworm)
Lineage: Eukaryota; Metazoa; Platyhelminthes; Cestoda; Cyclophyllidea; Taeniidae
Description: tRNA-His
Source: RNAcentral